GUCCUUGCUGUAAACGAUGCAUACUUGAUGUAGCUGGGCUCAACCCCGGCUGUGUCGAAGCUAACGCGAUAAGUAUGCCGCCUGGGAAGUACACUCGCAAGGGUGAAACCCAAAAGAAUUGACGGGGGCCCCGCACAAGCAGUGGAGCAUGUGGUUUAAUUCGAUGCAACGCGAAGAACCUUACCCAGGUUUGACAUACAGGAGACCGCGCUAGAAAUAGCGCUUCCCGCAAGGGCUGCUGUACAGGUGCUGCAUGGCUGUCGU
Molecule: ribosomal RNA, 264 nt
Filed under: uncultured bacterium
Lineage: Bacteria
Description: partial 16S ribosomal RNA
Rfam family: Bacterial small subunit ribosomal RNA
Source: RNAcentral